RNAcentral lists this long non-coding RNA (661 nucleotides) under Androctonus crassicauda. Lineage: Eukaryota; Metazoa; Arthropoda; Arachnida; Scorpiones; Buthidae. The record is from RNAcentral.
AAAAAAUAUUUUUUAUUUUUAUGUUUACAUAAUAAAAUUCUACCAUAUACAAGAAUAUAAAAAUUGUUCAAAUUAUACAUUAUCUGCUUUUUAAAAUGAGGCUAUUAUGGUGACACGUUGUUAAUAAUUAAACAGGCUCAGAUAGGAAAGGCUAUGAAAUCCGAACCGACAAUGGCCUCAAAAAUAUCGUAUAAAAGAUUGAAGAAUCUGGUUGAUGACAAAAAUCUGUUUUUGCUGAUUUUAUUCAUUUACUUUUAUGGCUUCGGGUGUGAUACGGAGGCCAAAUUUUCCACUAGCCCGGCUCCAUCUGACCAUUCUUAUAUCCUACAAAUACAUGAAAUCUUAUUUGUAGAAUCCCCCAUGUAAAUGCCAGAUUAUCUGUAAAUCAAUUACUAUCGAUUAAAAUUUUUUUUAUAUAAAAUUAUUAUUUAAAGUCAAAACGGUAAUCUCCGUAAUGCAUAGAUAAUAAAUUAAACUAGUCAGGGAGUCAGGAAUAAUGGCGUUUAAUGGAAAUAUUUAUCGUCAAGCAGUAUGGCUUUAUUAUUCCCACGUUAUGGCUUGUUUGAUUAGAAGAAAGUUUGGUGAAAACUCCAGAUAAAUUUUGGAUUUACCAAAAAGAACAACAAAGACGGCGUUUAUGCGCUAAAUCCUCCUCUUCUGG